RNAcentral lists this unclassified non-coding RNA (391 nucleotides) under soil metagenome. RNAcentral's name for it is "partial contains 5.8S ribosomal RNA, internal transcribed spacer 2, and large subunit ribosomal RNA". The stretch from base 1 to 122 matches the Rfam family "5.8S ribosomal RNA", at positions 35 to 154 of the family's 154-position model. The record is from RNAcentral.
GAUGAAGAACGCAGCGAAAUGCGAUACUUGGUGUGAAUUGCAGAAUCCCGUGAACCAUCGAGUCUUUGAACGCAAGUUGCGCCCGAAGCCAUUAGGCCGAGGGCACGCCUGCCUGGGCGUCACACGUCGUUGCCCCCCCAUCUACUCCUUCGGGAUUGCGGGGGGCGGAUGAUGGCCUCCCGUGCGCCUCGUCGCGCGGUUGGCCUAAAUGCCAAGUCCUCGGCGACGCACGCCACGACAAUCGGUGGUUGCGAAACCUCGGUUGCCUGUCGUGUGCGGUCGUCGCGCAUCGAGGGCUCGAAAAAAUUGCCGGGCUUCGGCUCGACUUUCAACGCGACCCCAGGUCAGGCGGGGUUACCCGCUGAAUUUAAGCAUAUCAAUAAGCGGAGGA